CCUUAGCCCUGAUGGGAACGGCAUCCUUUUUCUUGGCUGGGGGAAACCUCAUAGGUUUUGAAAACCUAUGAGGUUUUUAGCUUUGGCAGAAAAAGAUACAGUGGACAGCAGGUUCCCGG
Molecule: small RNA, 119 nt
Filed under: Epilithonimonas bovis DSM 19482
Lineage: Bacteria; Pseudomonadati; Bacteroidota; Flavobacteriia; Flavobacteriales; Weeksellaceae
Description: Chryseobacterium bovis DSM 19482 Flavo-1 RNA
Rfam family: Flavo-1 RNA
Source: RNAcentral